GAUGAACGCUGACAGCAUGCUUAACACAUGCAAGUCAACUGUGUCGGACGGGUGAGUAACGCGUAAAGAACUUUCCUCACAGCUAGGGACAACAUUUGGAAACGACUGCUAAUACCUAAUCCAGUGAGAGAGCUUUGCGUCCCAUUAUCUAGUUGGAGAGGUAACGGCUAACGAAGGCGAUGAUGGGUAGCCGGCCUGAGAGGGUGCUCGGCCACAAGGGGACGGAGAGACGGUCCAUACUGCUACGGGCGGUAGCAGUGUGGAAUAUUGGCCAAGGGACCAAAGGCUUAUACAGCAAUUGGGUGUGCGGGAUGAAGUUUUCGGUAUGUAAAGUGCUUUUAGUUGGGAAGCGGUACCAACAGAAGAAGUGACGGCUAAAUACGUGCCAGCCGCCGCGGUAAUUC
This 404-nucleotide ribosomal RNA is filed under the name uncultured bacterium. RNAcentral's name for it is "partial 16S ribosomal RNA". It matches the Rfam family "Bacterial small subunit ribosomal RNA", at positions 28 to 526 of the family's 1533-position model. The record is from RNAcentral.